GUGUCCUUAGUUCAGCGGAAGAACAGAUGUCUUCUAAACAUCAGGUCCGGGGUUCGAAUCCCCGAGGGCACACUA
Molecule: transfer RNA, 75 nt
Filed under: Robiginitomaculum sp.
Lineage: Bacteria; Pseudomonadati; Pseudomonadota; Alphaproteobacteria; Maricaulales; Robiginitomaculaceae
Description: tRNA-Arg
Rfam family: tRNA
About the family: Transfer RNA (tRNA) molecules are approximately 80 nucleotides in length. Their secondary structure includes four short double-helical elements and three loops (D, anti-codon, and T loops). Further hydrogen bonds mediate the characteristic L-shaped molecular structure. tRNAs have two regions of fundamental functional importance: the anti-codon, which is responsible for specific mRNA codon recognition, and the 3' end, to which the tRNAs corresponding amino acid is attached (by aminoacyl-tRNA synthetases). tRNAs cope with the degeneracy of the genetic code in two manners: having more than one tRNA (with a specific anti-codon) for a particular amino acid; and 'wobble' base-pairing, i.e. permitting non-standard base-pairing at the 3rd anti-codon position.
Source: RNAcentral